UAUGCGAAAAACAAACCUUAGCUAGCAGUAUCCUGAGUAGGGCGGGACACGAGGAAUCCUGUCUGAAUCUGGGUCGACCACGAUCCAACCCUAAAUACUAAUACCAGAUCGAUAGUGCACAAGUACCGUGAGGGAAAGGUGAAAAGAACUGAGGUGAUCAGAGUGAAAUAGAACCUGAAACCAUUUGCUUACAAUCAUUCAGAGCCCUAUGUAGCAAUACAGGGUGAUGGACUGCCUUUUGCAUAAUGAGCCUGCGAGUUGUGGUGUCUGGCAAGGUUAAGCAAACGCGAAGCCGUAGCGAAAGCGAGUCUGAAUAGGGCGCUUAGUCAGAUGCUGCAGACCCGAAACGAAGUGAUCUAUCCAUGAGCAAGUUGAAGCUAGUGUAAGAACUAGUGGAGGACUGAACCCAUAGGCGUUGAAAAGCCCCGGGAUGACUUGUGGAUAGGGGUGAAAGGCCAAUCAAACUUCGUGAUAGCUGGUUCUCUCCGAAAUAUAUUUAGGUAUAGCGUUGUGUCGUAAUAUAAGGGGGUAGAGCACUGAAUGGGCUAGGGCAUACACCAAUGUACCAAACCCUAUCAAACUCCGAAUACCUUAUAUGUAAUCACAGCAGUCAGGCGGCGAGUGAUAAAAUCCGUCGUCAAGAGGGAAACAACCCAGACUACCAGCUAAGGUCCCUAAAUCUUACUUAAGUGGAAAACGAUGUGAAGUUACUUAAACAACCAGGAGGUUGGCUUAGAAGCAGCCAUCCUUUAAAGAAAGCGUAAUAGCUCACUGGUCUAGUGAUUUUGCGCGGAAAAUAUAACGGGGCUAAAGUAAGUACCGAAGCUGUAGACUUAGUUUACUAAGUGGUAGGAGAGCGUUCUAUUUGCGUCGAAGGUAUACCGGUAAGGAGUGCUGGAGCGAAUAGAAGUGAGCAUGCAGGCAUGAGUAGCGAUAAUUAAUGUGAGAAUCAUUAACGCCGUAAACCCAAGGUUUCCUACGCGAUGCUCGUCAUCGUAGGGUUAGUCGGGUCCUAAGUCGAGUCCGAAAGGGGUAGACGAUGGCAAAUUGGUUAAUAUUCCAAUACCAACAUUAGUGUGCGAUGGAAGGACGCUUAGGGCUAAGGGGGCUAGCGGAUGGAAGUGCUAGUCUAAGGUCGUAGGAGGUUAUACAGGCAAAUCCGUAUAACAAUACUCCGAGAACUGAAAGGCUUUUUGAAGUCUUCGGAUGGAUAGAAGAACCCCUGAUGCCGUCGAGCCAAGAAAAGUUUCUAAGUUUAGCUAAUGUUGCCCGUACCGUAAACCGACACAGGUGGGUGGGAUGAGUAUUCUAAGGCGCGUGGAAGAACUCUCUUUAAGGAACUCUGCAAAAUAGCACCGUA
This 1360-nucleotide ribosomal RNA is filed under the name Campylobacter coli. RNAcentral's name for it is "partial 23S ribosomal RNA". It matches the Rfam family "Bacterial large subunit ribosomal RNA", at positions 376 to 1732 of the family's 2925-position model. Lineage: Bacteria; Pseudomonadati; Campylobacterota; Epsilonproteobacteria; Campylobacterales; Campylobacteraceae. The record is from RNAcentral.